Molecule: ribosomal RNA, 249 nt
Filed under: uncultured bacterium
Lineage: Bacteria
Description: partial 16S ribosomal RNA
Rfam family: Bacterial small subunit ribosomal RNA
Source: RNAcentral
UACGAAGGGGGCUAGCGUUGUUCGGAUUUACUGGGCGUAAAGCGCACGUAGGCGGUUUGUUAAGUGAGAGGUGAAAUCCCAGAGCUCAACUCUGGAACUGCCUUUCAUACUGGCAAGCUAGAGUCCGGAAGAGGUAAGUGGAACUCCUAGUGUAGAGGUGGAAUUCGUAGAUAUUAGGAAGAACACCAGUGGCGAAGGCGGCUUACUGGUCCGGAACUGACGCUGAGGUGCGAAAGCGUGGGGAGCAAA